AGAGUGAACGCUGGCGGUAGGCCUAACACAUGCAAGUCGAACGGCAGCACGGUAAGAGCUUGCUCUUAUGGGUGGCGAGUGGCGGACGGGUGAGGAAUACAUCGGAAUCUACCUUUUGGUGGGGGAUAACGUAGGGAAACUUACGCUAAUACCGCAUACGCCCUUCGGGGGAAAGCCGGGGACCAGCAAUGGCCUGGUGCUGAUAGAUGAGCCGAUGUCGGAUUAGCUAGUUGGUGAGGUAAUGGCUCACCAAGGCGACGAUCCGUAGCUGGUCUGAGAGGAUGAUCAGCCACACUGGAACUGAGACACGGUCCAGACUCC
Molecule: ribosomal RNA, 321 nt
Filed under: uncultured soil bacterium
Lineage: Bacteria
Description: bacterial SSU rRNA
Rfam family: Bacterial small subunit ribosomal RNA
Source: RNAcentral